Molecule: ribosomal RNA, 468 nt
Filed under: uncultured bacterium
Lineage: Bacteria
Description: partial 16S ribosomal RNA
Rfam family: Bacterial small subunit ribosomal RNA
Source: RNAcentral
GACGAACGCUGGCGGCGUGCUUAACACAUGCAAGUCGAACGGAAAGGCCCUGCUUUUGUGGGGUGCUCGAGUGGCGAACGGGUGAGUAACAAGUGAGUAACCUGCCCUUGACUUUGGGAUAACUUCAGGAAACUGGGGCUAAUACCGGAUAGGAGCUCCUGCUGCAUGGUGUGGGUUGGAAAGUUUCGGCGGUUGGGGAUGGACUCGCGGCUUAUCAGCUUGUUGGUGGGGUAGUGGCUUACCAAGGCUUUGACGGGUAGCCGGCCUGAGAGGGUGACCGGCCACAUUGGGACUGAGAUACGGCCCAGACUCCUACGGGAGGCAGCAGUGGGGAAUAUUGCACAAUGGGCGGAAGCCUGAUGCAGCAACGCCGCGUGCGGGAUGACGGCCUUCGGGUUGUAAACCGCUUUCGCCUGUGACAAAGCGUGAGUGACGGUAAUGGGUAAAGAAGCACCGGCUAACUACGUG